GGUGUAGGCGGUUUUAUAAGUCAGAAGUGAAAGCCCCGGGCUCAACCUGGGAAGUGCUUUUGAUACUGUUUAACUUGAGUGUGGGAGAGGUAGCUAGAAUUCCAGGUGUAGUGGUGAAAUACGUAGAUAUCUGGAGGAAUACCGGUGAGGAAGCUGGGUUACUGGCCCAACACUGACGCUCAGACCCGAAAGCGUGGGGAUCAAACA
This 207-nucleotide ribosomal RNA is filed under the name uncultured bacterium. RNAcentral describes it as "partial 16S ribosomal RNA". It matches the Rfam family "Bacterial small subunit ribosomal RNA", at positions 568 to 774 of the family's 1533-position model. The record is from RNAcentral.